UUGUUUCAACUAUAUCGAUAUCUUAAACAUAGCUGAUUGCAAAAUGGCGUCGUCUGCUCAGUUUUCAAACGUGGCUGCCUGGCUGGCGAUAGCUGCACGAAAAUUGUGUCUCUUUAUAAAUUAUUCUCUUAAAAUAGUUAUUAUUUUAUACGUGCUCCAUGUUGUUUACAGCAGUCAAAUAAAAUCAAGAAUGCAUAUAGAAUGAUUGUGGAAUCUUUGAAACCCUUUUCUAAAUUCUGAGAAAUCAAAAUGCUAGUUCCCGACUAAAAUAGGCCUAGCAUUAAUCACGCCAGAGCCAGCCAUCACAACAAUGAGAUGCAAGAAUUUGUUGUGCUGGUGUUAACCUGGUGGCAGGAAUCUCAUUGUUCGGGUAAUAAUUUUCAUUACUCUUAUUCCUGGGACCUGGUACAUUUCAGAAUGAUGCAUUACUUGCACCAAUUCAGUGAAUAUAACAUGGAAACCUUCAAGCUUCAAUUCUCCUUUUGUUUAUCAGUUACCACUGUACCACUCUCGUUAACAGCAUCCUCUUGUAUUGGGGAAACUACCAAUGUUGCUUGAGUUGCUGAUAUCUUCUCCCAGUUUCAUAAAAUGUUCUCGUGUGCCCCUGUAGUGGGUGUACACAACAUAUGAGGACUCCCUUUUUCCUCUAUCCCGCCUGGUGUCUCGUCAAUUUUUCAGCAGAUGGAUGCCUGGCUGUAUAUCCCAAGUCUAAAGGUACACAUUUAUCUCUCUUCCUUUUUUGACUAUUUUUGGCGGCGUUGAUUAUGAAACUUUAGGCUUAUAUACACAGCGCAGAGUACGACUAUUCCUGA
RNAcentral lists this long non-coding RNA (812 nucleotides) under Daphnia pulicaria. Its description in RNAcentral is "uncharacterized LOC124338421". The record is from RNAcentral. Lineage: Eukaryota; Metazoa; Arthropoda; Branchiopoda; Diplostraca; Daphniidae.